CCGGACUUGAGUAGUAACAUUCCUUGAUCAGGACGUUGCUAUAGGUAGAAUGCAUAGUAGUCCAACAACGUUACGUAUUUCCUGCUGUUUGUACCUCCUUUUGUUUUCUUGUAGGGUAUCUCAAGUUUAAAACCAUCUUCUCCAUAUGGGAACAACAACGGAUAUUGCAUGGACAUGAAUUUCGGGUGGAUCUCUGAUAUCCUUUGCAGCUCCAUAUUUUUGUACUCAACAACAAUGUCACGUCCUUCACUCUCUCUGGUUGGAUCUCUUACUACCAAUGCUGCAACUUCAGAUGCGGAUGGAAGGUUGUGUGUUCCAUUCCUUUUGCCUAGUAUCCGAAGUGUGUAAUCAUGGUAGUCUCCUUCUUGGAAUCUAUCUCUUGCCAUUCUGAAGGUUUUUGCGAGGAUGUUGUUGUCGUCGAGCAUUAUUUUCAGUUCUUUGACGAUGUUGGGGUCCACUGUUGAUUUUUUAUCAUUGCAUCUUGACGCACUUAUCCUGUUUUCCACCUCAUUUUUGGUAUUACAGAUGUAUAGCUGUGCAAACCGAGGUUUGUCUGUACCUUGAGGCAAAAGAGUUCCGAUAUGGUGGUAGUUUUGUCCAUGCAAACGAAAAACAUAAGGUCCUUUGCGAGUGUUUAUUUCCUUGUCCACAGCUCCUCCCAUCGAUGUGAAUGAAAACAUUGAGUUGUAUGACCUUAUAUUUUCUUUGAAGUUUACCGAAUCCUGCCCUUCACUUCUUAAGAGGUUUCUAAGGUAUGGUGGAGGUUCUCUUAGUGGCGGCAGAUCGAUUUUCCCUUGUUUGCAGCAUAUUCCAAAAGAGGGUGCCGUAGUUCCUUUGUUUGAAUUUAAUCUUUCUUCACACCAUAGCAAUGCUUUGCAAUAUUGGCAUUUGUAUGUUGGCCUUCCGAAGUUCCAUGGCUUGCUAUUAGAACUUGUCGAGGUUCUGGUUCUGUUGUUGUCUCCAACAUUGACUCUAGUGUUGUUUUUGUUGGUUUCGCUUUUGGCGCGCUUCAAUUCCCUAUCUUCUUCAGCAUUAGCCUUUCUCAAUCAUUUAGGAGCCUCUUGUCCAGACCCCGACUCGAUGACACAUCGAUCUAGCCUAUAACACCUCAUAUCACUUUGCGGCCUCACGCACGGUAUCCCCACGGGUGUCGCCUUACCUUUGCCCGGGACCGUUUGCGCCUUUUGGCUCACGUAUAUGAUAGUGUUGCUAGCAUCCAUAUGUUAAGGAGCCCGGGCUGACAUGACUAGUUGUAAACCCAAAGUGGCACAGACUUACAGGGACAUGCAUCCAUGACCCAGCUUCGAACGUGUUGGUCAUCAGCAAGAGGGUCCGGGCUGUAGCACUGGGCUAGCAGGACUCCGGUAAACCGGGCUGUAGCGGGCUAACAGGACUCCGGUACUCAAUGCGUGACAUUUCCCCGAAGGGACAGACACCGGAACGAAGGACACAUGCCGGCCAGCCUAAGUGUUCCAGAGCAGUAGCAAGCUGCCAUGGCUCAGUGGUAACACUAGGAGACAUUUCCUGGUAAGAGAGGCUACUAAAGAUAAACAACUAGAUAGUCAGAUCCCACACAUACCAAGCAUUUCAAUAACAUACACAUAGUAUGCUCGAUAUGUGCAAAUACAACAUGGCAUCACAACAUGACUCUACGACACAAGUACUUUAUUUAAGGCUCAGGGAACCAUACAUAAUCAUACACACAGGUACGGGUCACACGACCCAGCAUUCAAGUCAUACAGUCAUACAAACCAGCAGCGGAAGUAACUUGUCUGAGUACAGACAACUAGUAAAAUAAAAGAGGCUUGGAAAGCCUAGCUAUACUACGUGGUCCUUCACAAGCUCAGGAUCACCACCUGGGCCUUAGCCUACUCAUUGAUGUCAACGUCUAUGUAGAACCCAUCAGAAGGGGUUGCAGCGUCUUCUGUAAAAAAUGUAAAUUAUAGCAACAUGAGUACAAAGGUACUCAGCAAGACUUACAUCAGAUCCUACAUACAUGCAUAUUAUCAAGAAGGGUUGGUGGAGUUGUUGCAGCAAGCCAGCUUUGACUCUUGGCUAGGCUAACCUACGAGACUCCAACUUGAAAUGGUUUUGCGUACACGAGUCCACUACUCACCAAUUCAAUACACUACCGAGGAUCCACCUCCAUCUUCCUACGGAAGAGCCAUCCUCGGCACUCACACUUAUCUUGAGGCUUUUAGUAGUUUCCGUUUACUUGUCUAUGAACUGUAUAGGCAACCAAGUAGUCCUUUACCGCGGACGCGGCUAUUCGAAUAGAUCAUGAUAACCCUGCAGGGGUGUACUUCUUCAUACAUGUUUCCACCACUUAGCGUCUGCACACAACAUGUGCUCGGCAGACUUCAAGCGAAAGCCGACGUGGGUGUAGACCACGACCUACCUAAACACCUAAGCCUCUAGUCCAGGUUUAUCGCCUAUCCAGGUUCCAUCGGCAGGGAGUCCGGCCGAGGUUUCCCAUACGGCCCCGAACGAUGUGAACAGGGUUCCCGAGAUACCUAACAGGUAUUUGGUACACCCGGCCACGUACCUACCGCAUCACAGCCCACCCCUACGGUCAGCGCUGUCCACGGCCUCCAGUAGGCUACAAACACCAGAAACUACUUGCAACUCCUGGACAGAGAUCUAGGGUGAAUAAGAAGUCGAGCGGGGUCAUAUUUCAGGGCCCAAUGCAUGGUAGUAGCUGUAUCUUAAAUCACACAUACAGAUCUCAGUGCUUAAGGUCGGCUUCAAUGAAACAACCCACCAUGUACUCCUACAUGGCCUCUCAUCGAUACCUUUACCAAAUCGUGUUCACCACACCACUCUCAUUACCGACAUAAUCAUUUCACUCUAGCCCAUCACCCAGAUGAACCAGACCUGACAUGACUCUAAGCAUAGCAGGCAUAGCAAGGUAGGAACAACACAUACAUAUGGCUCACUCAACUCCUACACAUGCUAGUGGGUUUCAUCUAGUUACUGUGGCAAUGACAGGUCAUGCAGAGGAAAUGGGUUCAACUACCGUAGCACACAACAGUUUGAAACGCGUUGUCUUAAUGCAGUAAAAGAGAGCAGGAGGGAGAACAUGGGAUUGUAUCGAUAUGAUCAAAUGGUUGGUUGCUUGCCUGAUGGUUCGAUGCACUGAUACGGUUCUUCGUUAGGGUAAUCACGGUACUCCUCGGAGGCAGAACCUGCCGCAAAGAACACCGAUACACAACCAUCACCAAACAAUGUGCAACAAUAUGAUGCAUGCAUGAAACAUAGCAAUAUGAGUGUGUUGGGCUAAUGCAACUAAGACCAGAAGGGUUUGAACCAAUUUGAAUCAAAGAUUCAAAUUUCAAACUCAAACAUGGCCCUUUAAAGUGUUUUUCCUUGUUCUGCAUUAAACAUCAGGUUAACUUGUUUAAUCAUGCAUGAAAAUAGUACAGAUGGAUAGAUUGGAUUUUUUCUGAUCAUUUUUCAUAUAUAAUUUGUCUGAUUUGGAGUUACAGAAUAAAAGUUAUGAAUUUUUAAAGUUUAAACUAUAUUCUAGAAUUUCCUAUAUUAGAUUAAUUCCAGAAAAUCAAUUAUUGCGUCAGCCUGACGUCAGUGUGACGUUAGCAGGUCAACGGGACACGUCCGGGUCAAACCUGACAGUGGGUCCCGCGUGUCAGUGUGAUUAGAUUAAUUAAAGUUUAAUUAAAACUAAACCUGUUUAAUUAACAGGGCUGGGCCCCACCUGUCAUAGACUCAGGGGAGUCAACCAGGGCCCACCCGUGGUCAAACCCGGGUCGGCUGCAUCGGCGUUUAGCCGCCGGCGAGCCCGACGCGGCGGCGGAAGUGGUUUUGGCUGUUUCGGCCACCAAAUGGGUCGCGGAGACCACCGGAGUGGAGCUGAGGACGAGCCGCAACUCUUGGUGGAGUCCGUUGGGGUCGGGGUGGCCGGAGUUGGCGCCGGCGACGACUUUGGCAGCCACCGGGGUUCGGCCAAAGACGAACUUGACGCUAGAGGGGUCGGUGAGGCGCGGGGAGUAGCUAGCUAGGUGCUACGUGACGCGGUGAGCAUGAUGGACACCGUGGAGUGGUCGGAGGGUGACCGGGAGCACGUCGGCGACGAGCUCCACGGUGGUGGGUGCGGUUGAGCUCCGGGAGGUCGCUACACAGCUCGGGAGCAAGAAAAGGAGGGGGGAAGAUGGCUAAGCUCACAGUGAGUGCGACGAAGCCCUUGCUGCGGCCGGGGAUGGACCGGAGCGACGACGGCAUCGAAGGGGAUCUCCGGCGACGGCGGUUUGGGCGAGGUCGUUGCGGUGGACUCGGGCGUUGCGAGCGCUCGGGGCUCGGCUUGCUCGAUGAAGUGGACAGCGGCGGAGCUCCUGGACACGAUGAGAGGACGCACGGGCGGCGGGGAGCACGGCUACGAUGUAGGCACGGCGGUGGUGGCGUCGGUCAUGGCGGGGGAGCGCGAGGGGGAGGAGCUGGAGAGGAGAGGGGGUGUCUGGGGGGUUCGGGGGAGAGAGGGAGGCUGAUCCACGACGUCACCGGGCGAGGGGAGCGGCGAGGCGGCGAGCAGGUGCGUGGCGCGCGCUGCGGUCGCCGUCGGGCACCUGCCUGCCUGCCUGGCCGGCAAGCAGCUCGCUGGAGCGGCGCUGGGCUGGGCCGGUAGGUGGGCCGGGAGCUGGCGUCGGGUAAGUUUUUCCAUUUUUUCUGUUUUUUGUAUUUUUUAAUACUUCUACAACUUUGUUGAAUUAAAUAAAAUACUUAGGCAACUCCUAAAAUCACCAAACUACUCCUGGUCCAUAGUUGGAUUAUUUCCAACAUGAAACAUUUUAGUUUGGAGAUAUUUGAGCAUUUAAAUAUUUUAUAUAAUUUUAAAUGCCCAAAUUCAAAUAUUUAUGAUUUAAUUCAAAAACCCUAAGAUGGCCUAGGAAAAUGUGCAUCACUUUUGGCAGAGGUUCUGAACCAAGACAAAAAUGAUGGGCAUUUUAGAAGGGCAUUUCAGGUUCAUUGAAAAAGUUUUUAGUAAACCCUAAUUGGUUUCAGAGGGGACUGGGGUUCUGUCAUCCCCAUUUCAGGUUUCUGAUGAAAGAAUAAACAUGAUGCAACACUCUAAUGCAUGAACUAGCUAGGGUGUGACAUGUGUACGCAUUUCUUCUUCCCUCUGCAGUCCUUGUCCGUUUUGUACUCCUUGAGUUUAGAGGUUGUUCUUUCUUUCUUUUUGUCUGGUGAGCUGCUGGGUCUAACGUAUGUUGGACUCUCAUAUCUGCAAAUGUGAUUUUGUUAGUGCGUAUAGUUUCCUUAACAUAGUAUCAUGUAAUAUGAUUUAUUUUGUAAUCCCUCCGUAAAGAAAUAUAAGAGCGUUUAGAUUACUAAAGUAGUGAUCUAAACACUCUUAUAUCUCUAUAGAGAGAGUACUUAAUAGUGUUUUGCUUUUGCAGGCAUGCAAGUGCAUUUGGUGAUGACUACUAAUGGACGUUGUCACAUACAGUACAUCUGGAGAUUAAUGUUGUUUAUCUGGUAGGGAACUAAAAAUCAAUAAUUGUUCAACCAUGUUGCUCUUUUUGUAGCUUUCACAUUAUUAUCAUGGUAGUGUUAGGAUGCAUGAAAAAAGAGCUUUAUAGUUCAGUAUGAGAAGAGUUUUGACGCAAUGUUGAGCUGAGAUCAAAAUGCAGGCACACACAUGAAGAAUUGCAUCGGGAUAUUACCUGAGGCCGAUGGUGCUGAUGUUGUGUCUUCAGUUCAUUGGACGUUUCUUUGUGCCUGUGAUCGUUUGGGUGUCGUCGGCGUAUAUUGGAUGCAAGUUGCUGGAGUUGUUGCCAUACCUUCAAUUUGUCAGCCGUCUCGUGUGUUUGAUCUUCCCGACAUCAUGAAAAAGUAGCUAUUGAGAAAGUACAUCAUGGGUCAUUUAUGAAUGUAUGUCUUGUAAAAUUAUGGUUGAAUGAUGUUUAUGUGAUAUAAGCAGAGGGAUGAGUGUAUGUGACCAUACCUCUUGUUUGUUUUCUGAGACUAUGAUCUAGCAAUUUGACUAAUGUAGAUCACCUGAGGAGAAAGUUUUUGUGAGAAUAUGUUGGCUGAUAAGGAAGCUAAAAUAAUGCACGGAUUAAAGAGAGAAAAUAUAUAAUACCCUGGAACCUUUGCCUGCUUAGUCGUCGAGUUGCUUCGAAUUUGAGAAGACGGAUCAGUCGGCGAUGAGGCUUGUUGUGCUAGUAGGACGUGAUAUGAUGCACUUUAUAUAAUGAUAUGGUUAGAUGUUUUCCAAGACAUGUAGGAUUAGGAAUCAUGUAGUGAGUCAAAAUGUAGUGAGUCAAAAUCGGAC
Molecule: long non-coding RNA, 6286 nt
Filed under: Triticum aestivum (bread wheat)
Lineage: Eukaryota; Viridiplantae; Streptophyta; Magnoliopsida; Poales; Poaceae
Description: long non-coding RNA (TAES_LNC020894)
Source: RNAcentral